Heterocephalus glaber (naked mole-rat) is the source of this 2231-nucleotide long non-coding RNA. The record is from Ensembl. NCBI's taxonomy places the organism in Eukaryota, Metazoa, Chordata, Mammalia, Rodentia, Bathyergidae.
CCCCACUCGCUGCCUCUGCCACUUGGGCCCAAGGGCCUUCUGCUCCCUACCAGCAGCCUGGGGGCUUCGUGUGCAGGACUUUAAACAUUUCUGAAGGGUCAUGCACGGGAGGCACCAAGCUCUUCCGGGGAUGGGGAUGGGAACCGUGCAGCACUGCCAGUGGCCCCUGAAAGUCCUAAACGAGAGCAGGAAAAUGUUCUCCCCUCUCACAGGGCAUGGUCAGUGCCCUCAACUGCCUUGGUGACACCAGCACUGGGACCUGUGUGGACCCCUCGGUUGCACACGGCCCCAGCGUGCCGUUGGUCCCUGCCUGUGGAUCCCAAGAGGACCGAUGUGCCCAGCGUGUUCUGAGGGAUGGAACGGGGACCCAGCCUCCAGUGUGUGGCCAGGGGCGCAGUGCCUUGGGCGGGCUCCGGCACCUGUUCCUCAGCCCGGGCGGAGCCCUGAGCUGCACCACGCACGGCCAUGUGGAAGGGAGAGGGCUUCUGCGCCCCGCACGCGCGCGCCCUUCUCCUUGGGCCAUCGCACUUCCUGUCCUGGGAGCGCUGUGUGCUUUUCGCUGUGGGGCUUCUGGCUGCCCUGCCCUGCUGACCUGCAGGAGCUCCUUACAUGCUAAGGAUGUCGGACGUCUCCUGGAGUUGUUCGAAGUUUCCCGCUUUUCGUUUCCUUGUUUACAGGCACGGGUCUCAUCCCCCGUUGCUGGGCAACCAGGGCCAGGUCCCAGGAAGACACAGGACGGCACUUCCUAUGUCAUGAGGAUAGCAGAGCAGAUCCAAGGCCCUGCAGCAGGUUCGGUGGCCCUGUGCAUGGGGGACACACAGCUGGGACCCCAACGCUGGGACCCCAAUGCUGGGACCCCAACCUUGAGCCCAACAGGAGCUGGGACAGUGUGAGCUAAGGGCUGCACUGGUCACCCGCACGAGCCCCAACACCUAGGCAGAGACCUGCCAGGCCCUACAGGCAGCUGGCCCGAGCCUGGGGCCCCCACCUUUUCUCUGUGCAGUCUGGGGAUGUGGCCCGUACACCAGGCCCAGAGGUGUUCGGCCUUGGCCUUCCCUCCUUGGCUUCCAGCGCUGCCUGCUCAGCCAUCAGUAUCUACUGUGGACCUGUGGGUGCCGCCAGUGCUGGAUCAGGCCUGAGCUGAGAGUCCUCCACCCUGCAGCCCCAGCGGACAGCCAAGGCUGGACAGGUCACAGUGCCCCGUCCCCAGCUGGAGCCAGGGUGGCCGAGGCUGGGCCCACUCAGAGAGGGGCCGGGGUUGACCAGGGCCAGAGGGGCUGUCCUGCUGGGCCACACCCUCCCUGCCUCCUGCCAGUGUCCUGCCUGGGAGCCCUGUGCAUGGGGGGGGGGUCACAGCCCCUCGGCCUUGCUGGGGUGGGGUGUAGUUCUGAGCAGUAGCCCCUGGGCCAGGGAUGGCUGGGUGGGGAGCCCAGCCAGGCCACAGGCAGCCUCUGAGGGCAGGCACAGAGCCAGGUUUCCAAUGGCAGUGGGGAGUGUUUUAGCAGGCAUGGAAUCCUGGAAAUUGCUCAGGAAAAACCCUGUCCUCGGGCCAGCCAGCCUGGCCGAGGGGGAGGGGAGUGUGGCCUGGGCACAGCUGUGGGGUAGCCACAGGACCUUGUGCUGGCCCAGGCUCUGCAGGUGCGCGCAGCGGCGACAGGGUCUCUGCUCACUGUCAGGCUGUGCUGGCCCCCCACGGCUGACACUGGCCACUGUGUCGCCAAGGCCCCUUCCUCCAUCCCCUCUGUCCCCCGACAUCCAGGACAUGCCAGGGUCCAGACUGAGCCUCAGUCAGCCCCCAUGCUCGCCCCACAGCCCCGCGGGCACUCAGCCAGGACCUGAUCUCCCAGGGAGGGUGCCGUGCACUGGGCGCCAGACAGACAGACGUCGGGCAGUGCCCAAUACCUCCAGGCAGCCUUGGCUGCACCCAGGCCACGGAGAGGCGAGACAUGCCCACCUAGAAGACACCAUGAAAGAGCAAUGAAGACUACAAACCACUGGGCAUGGGCUCCCACCUGGUAUCUCAGCUACUGAGGAGGCUGGAGCAGGAGGAUCCCACGUUCUAGGUUGGCCUGGCAACUCAGAGAGACCUGUCUCAAGACGAACAUGAAGAAGCCUGGGUCUGUGGCUCAGUGGUAGAGCACUGGCCUAACCUCCGUGAGGCCUGAGUUCCAUCCCCAGCACUGAAAAAAAUAUAUGUAUAUGAGCAAACCAGAUCUAUAUGGAAAAAAUCC